UACGAAGGGUGCAAGCGUUGCUCGGAAUCACUGGGCGUAAAGGGUGCGUAGGCGGGUCUUUAAGUCCGGGGUGAAAUCCUGGAGCUCAACUCCAGAACUGCCUUUGAUACUGAAGAUCUUGAGUUCGGGAGAGGUGAGUGGAACUGCGAGUGUAGAGGUGAAAUUCGUAGAUAUUCGCAAGAACACCAGUGGCGAAGGCGGCUCACUGGCCCGAUACUGACGCUGAGGCACGAAAGCGUGGGGAGCAAACAGG
RNAcentral lists this ribosomal RNA (253 nucleotides) under uncultured bacterium. RNAcentral's name for it is "partial 16S ribosomal RNA". It matches the Rfam family "Bacterial small subunit ribosomal RNA", at positions 524 to 776 of the family's 1533-position model. The record is from RNAcentral.